Molecule: ribosomal RNA, 460 nt
Filed under: uncultured bacterium
Lineage: Bacteria
Description: partial 16S ribosomal RNA
Rfam family: Bacterial small subunit ribosomal RNA
Source: RNAcentral
CCUACGGGAGGCAGCAGUGAGGAAUAUUGGGCAAUGGACGAGAGUCUGAACCAGCCAAGUAGCGUGAAGGAUGACUGCCCUAGGGGUUGUAAACUUCUUUUAUAUGGGAAUAAAAUGUUCCACGUGUGGGAUUUUGUAUGUACCAUAUGAAUAAGGAUCGGCUAACUCCGUGCCAGCAGCCGCGGUAAUCCGGAGGAUCCGAGCGUUAUCCGGAUUUAUUGGGUUUAAAGGGAGCGUAGGUGGAUUGUUAAGUGAGUUGUGAAAGGUUGCGGCUCAACCGUGAAAUUGCAGUUGAAACUGGCAGUCUUGAGUACAGUAGAGGUAGGCGGAAUUCGUGGUGUAGCGGUGAAAUGCUUAGAUAUCACGAAGAACUCCGAUUGCGAAGGCAGCUCACUGGACUGCAACUGACACUGAGGCUCGAAAGUGUGGGUAUCAAACAGGAUUAGAUACCCGAGUAGUC